RNAcentral lists this ribosomal RNA (468 nucleotides) under uncultured bacterium. Its description in RNAcentral is "partial 16S ribosomal RNA". It matches the Rfam family "Bacterial small subunit ribosomal RNA", at positions 28 to 507 of the family's 1533-position model. The record is from RNAcentral.
GACGAACGCUGGCGGUGUGCUUAACACAUGCAAGUCGAACGGUAAGGCCCUUUCGGGGGUACACGAGUGGCGAACGGGUACGUAACACGUGAGUAACCUGCCCUCAUCUCUGGGAUAGCAGUCGGAAACGGUUGCUAAUACUGGAUAUGAGCUUGCAAGGCAUCUUGUGGGUUGGAAAGAUUUUUUUUGGUUGGGGAUGGACUCGCGGCCUAUCAGCUUGUUGGUGAGGUAGUGGCUCACCAAGGCUUCGACGGGUAGCCGGCCUGAGAGGGCGACCGGCCACAUUGGGACUGAGAUACGGCCCAAACUCCUACGGGAGGCAGCAGUGGGGAAUAUUGCACAAUGGACGGAAGUCUGAUGCAGCAACGCCGCGUGCGGGAUGACGGCCUUCGGGUUGUAAACCGCUUUCAAUUGUGACGAAGCUUUUUUGUGACGGUAGCAGUAGAAGAAGCACCGGCUAACUACGUG